UACAGAGGUCUCAAGCGUUGUUCGGAUUCAUUGGGCGUAAAGGGUGUGUAGGUGGCGCCGUAAGUCGGGUGUGAAAUUUCGGAGCUUAACUCCGAAACUGCAUUCGAUACUGCGGUGCUUGAGGACUGGAGAGGAGACUGGAAUUCAUGGUGUAGCAGUGAAAUGCGUAGAGAUCAUGAGGAAGACCAGUGGCGAAGGCGGGUCUCUGGACAGUUCCUGACACUGAGACACGAAGGCCAGGAGAGCAAACGGG
Molecule: ribosomal RNA, 253 nt
Filed under: uncultured bacterium
Lineage: Bacteria
Description: partial 16S ribosomal RNA
Rfam family: Bacterial small subunit ribosomal RNA
Source: RNAcentral